GCUGGCGGCAGGCCUAACACAUGCAAGUCGAGCGGUAACAUUUCUAGCUUGCUAGAAGAUGACGAGCGGCGGACGGGUGAGUAACGCGUAGAAAUCUACCUAGUAGUGGGGGAUAGCCCAGAGAAAUUUGGAUUAAUACCGCAUACGCCCUACGGGGGAAAGCGGGGGAUCUUCGGGCCUCGUGCUAUUAGAUGAGUCUGCGUCGGAUUAGCUUGUUGGUGAGGUAAUGGCUCACCAAGGCGACGAUCCGUAGCUGGUCUGAGAGGAUGACCAGCCACACUGGAACUGAGACACGGUCCAGACUCCUACGGGAGGCAGCAGUGGGGAAUAUUGCACAAUGGGCGCAAGCCUGAUGCAGCCAUGCCGCGUGUGUGAAGAAGGCCUUAGGGUUGUAAAGCACUUUCAGCAGUGAGGAAAGGGGUGUCGUUAAUAGCGCCAUCCUGUGACGUUAACUGCAGAAGAAGGACCGGCUAACUCCGUG
Molecule: ribosomal RNA, 481 nt
Filed under: uncultured bacterium
Lineage: Bacteria
Description: bacterial SSU rRNA
Rfam family: Bacterial small subunit ribosomal RNA
Source: RNAcentral